GGGGAUUAGCGCUGCUUUCCCAAGACAGGUUUUAUGUGAUUAUGAUCUUCAGGCUUUGCCUAACCAGGUGGGCUUACUUUCCAAAUGUACAAAGUAUGAUUGAGUUAUUAAGCUCUAAAUGUUUCAAUGAAAUGCAAAUUGUUUAUUCAAUAAAAUGAAAACUGUUUAUCCAAUAAAAUAUUUUGUGCACUCUGCUCCGUUUAAGGCUCGCAACAAUGAAUCGAUCGAGGUUCUCUCUUGACCUAACACGUUAUUUGAGAAUUGUGUACACCUAUUAGAUGACUCGGUGGGUUGAUCUCCAUUCGGGCACUAAUUAUGUAUGAGGCGUUAUAAGGGUGCUCGACGGGAUGUGUUCCGGAGCAUUGGGUCCCAAAUGGGAACUUGACUGGGUUACGC
Molecule: long non-coding RNA, 396 nt
Filed under: Salvia miltiorrhiza (redroot sage)
Lineage: Eukaryota; Viridiplantae; Streptophyta; Magnoliopsida; Lamiales; Lamiaceae
Description: long non-coding RNA (SMIL_LNC002884)
Source: RNAcentral